CACAUGUGUACUAAAUUGGCUACUAUGAUCUUGGGGGCAGAUCCUUUCUCUUCCUUCUUUCUUCCAUAUUGACAAAAUGACACCAUGGGGUGUCUCUUGCUUUACCCCCUCACUCAUUCCUUUGGUAGGUUAUUUGUUCAGAUCAGACUUGGAUGUGUGAAAUUUUAGUCUGUAGAAUAUAAAUAGAUGUGAUUUGUUCAGUCUCCCAAUGGAAGAGCCAUAAUACAGUUGGAAUUUAUUUGCCUUCUGAGUCCUAAGAGUAGCAUGUCCUAAAGGACGACCUCUCCUUCAGCCACUAAUGAAGUCCACGUUUAGUCCACAACAGAACAAGAGUGGGUUUUAUAUGAUCAAGAAAUAAGGCUUUCCUCUUAUAGUCCAAGAAAAUUUCUGCAUUAUUUUUUACAGCCACAUGAUUUAUAUUAACCUGACUGAUAUACCUUCCAAGAAGAGAAGUGGUAAGUAAUCUUAUUAGUGAAUUUGGGAGGAGUUGAAUAUGGUCUGAUAAACUCCUUGUUCUUUGGUAUUAGACUUCUCACAGAGUGUACACAUGCUCUUGGCCAAUUGUAAAUCUCACAGUGUCUGCCAUUUUGAGGAGUGAGUUUAUUUCAGAAUAGAUUUUCAAACUAGUCUAGUUCUACACCUAAGCCAUGUAUUCCAAUAUACAGAUAUAUUGGUUAAUGAAAACUGAGGUUUCAUCUCCGUCUACAUAGAUCUUAUGAAUAUUUCUCAUAUUUCAAUUCAGGUGGAGAAGAGGGAUAUGCUAUACUGACUCCUUCUCCAACAAGUACUGUGAUUCUGCACAGGAGCAUAAUAUCCAAUGGUCUAUUUGGACAGUAACUUAAUAAGACUGAGAGAAUUGAAGUACGCAUAUAUACCUAAGGAUCCUCAACUAGAAGUCAGAAGACACAGGACAUUAUUGCUAUAAUUCACACAGCUCAUCUUCCCGG
This is a long non-coding RNA of Prionailurus viverrinus (fishing cat), 947 nucleotides long. RefSeq lists it as uncharacterized. The record is from RefSeq and is a predicted model, not a curated record. The transcript has 3 exons. NCBI's taxonomy places the organism in Eukaryota, Metazoa, Chordata, Mammalia, Carnivora, Felidae.